UUCAUUAUUUUCUUUAAUUCUGUCAUUAUUGUUAGUUGCCUUGAAUACCGCCACUCUACCAGUUCGUGUGAGUACCUGAGCC
RNAcentral lists this long non-coding RNA (82 nucleotides) under Neodiprion lecontei (redheaded pine sawfly). Its description in RNAcentral is "uncharacterized LOC124293532". The record is from RNAcentral. Lineage: Eukaryota; Metazoa; Arthropoda; Insecta; Hymenoptera; Diprionidae.